UAGCGGCGGACGGGUGAGUAACGCGUGGGCAACCUGCCUUUUACAGGGGGAUAACACUGGGAAACUAGUGCUAAUACCGCAUAACAUAUUGAUAGGACAUCCUAUUAAUAUCAAAGGAGAAAUCCGGUAGAAGAUGGGCCCGCGUCCGAUUAGCUAGUUGGUGGGGUAGAGGCCUACCAAGGCGACGAUCGGUAGCCGAACUGAGAGGUUGAUCGGCCACAUUGGGACUGAGAUACGGCCCAGACUCCUACGGGAGGCAGCAGUGGGGAAUAUUGCGCAAUGGGGGAAACCCUGACGCAGCAACGCCGCGUGAAGGAUGAAGGUUUUCGGAUUGUAAACUUCUUUGAUGGGGGACGAAAAAAAUGACGGUACCCCAAAAACAAGCCACGGCUAACUACGUGCCAGCAGCCGCGGUAAUACGUAGGUGGCGAGCGUUAUCCGGAAUUACUGGGUGUAAAGGGCGUGUAGGCGGGUUGGCAAGUCAGAUGUGAAAUCCCAUGGCUUAACUGUGGGGCUGCAUCUGAAACUGCUGAUCUUGAGUAUCGGAGAGGAAAGUGGAAUUCCCAGUGUAGCGGUGAAAUGCGUAGAUAUUGGGAGGAACACCAGUGGCGAAGGCGACUUUCUGGACGGUAACUGACGCUGAGGCGCGAAAGCGUGGGGAGCAAACACGAUUAGAUACCCUGGUAGUCCACGCUGUAAACGAUGGAUACUACGUGUAGGGGGUAUCGACCCCCCCUGUGC
Molecule: ribosomal RNA, 741 nt
Filed under: uncultured bacterium
Lineage: Bacteria
Description: bacterial SSU rRNA
Rfam family: Bacterial small subunit ribosomal RNA
Source: RNAcentral